UGGGGAAUAUUGGGCAAUGGGGCGAAAGCCUGACCCAGCAACGCCGCGUGAAGGAAGAAGGCUUUCGGGUUGUAAACUUCUUUUACCAGGGACGAAGGACGUGACGGUACCUGGAGAAAAAGCCACGGCUAACUACGUGCCAGCAGCCGCGGUAAUACGUAGGUGGCAAGCGUUGUCCGGAUUUACUGGGUGUAAAGGGCGUGUAGGCGGAGCAGCAAGUCAGAUGUGAAAUCUAUGGGCUUAACCCAUAAACUGCAUUUGAAACUGUAUCUCUUGAGUGUCGGAGAGGUAGACGGAAUUCCUAGUGUAGCGGUGAAAUGCGUAGAUAUUAGGAGGAACACCAGUGGCGAAGGCGGUCUAACUGGACGAUAACUGACGCUGAGGCGCGAAAGCGUGGG
Molecule: ribosomal RNA, 398 nt
Filed under: uncultured Clostridium sp.
Lineage: Bacteria; Bacillati; Bacillota; Clostridia; Eubacteriales; Clostridiaceae
Description: bacterial SSU rRNA
Rfam family: Bacterial small subunit ribosomal RNA
Source: RNAcentral